This is a transfer RNA of Ovis aries (sheep), 72 nucleotides long. It matches the Rfam family "tRNA". From Rfam's summary of the family: Transfer RNA (tRNA) molecules are approximately 80 nucleotides in length. Their secondary structure includes four short double-helical elements and three loops (D, anti-codon, and T loops). Further hydrogen bonds mediate the characteristic L-shaped molecular structure. tRNAs have two regions of fundamental functional importance: the anti-codon, which is responsible for specific mRNA codon recognition, and the 3' end, to which the tRNAs corresponding amino acid is attached (by aminoacyl-tRNA synthetases). tRNAs cope with the degeneracy of the genetic code in two manners: having more than one tRNA (with a specific anti-codon) for a particular amino acid; and 'wobble' base-pairing, i.e. permitting non-standard base-pairing at the 3rd anti-codon position. NCBI's taxonomy places the organism in Eukaryota, Metazoa, Chordata, Mammalia, Artiodactyla, Bovidae. The record is from Rfam.
UCCCUGGUGGCUCAAAUGGUAAAGAAUCUGCCUACAAUGCAGGAGAUCUAGGUUCAAUUCCUGGGUUGGGAA